This 253-nucleotide ribosomal RNA is filed under the name uncultured bacterium. RNAcentral describes it as "partial 16S ribosomal RNA". It matches the Rfam family "Bacterial small subunit ribosomal RNA", at positions 524 to 776 of the family's 1533-position model. The record is from RNAcentral.
UACGUAGGGGGCAAGCGUUGUCCGGAUUUAUUGGGUUUACAGGGUGCGUAUGCGGUUCUGUAAGUCAGCGGUGAAAGACUAGAGCUUAACUCUGGAAUUGCCAUUGAUACUGUAGGGCUUGAGUAUAGUUGCUGUGGGCGGAAUAUGACAUGUAGUGGUGAAAUACUUAGAGAUGUCAUAGAACACCGAUUGCGAAGGCAGCUCACAAAACUAUAACUGACACUGAGGCUCGAAAGUGCGGGGAUCAAACAGG